RNAcentral lists this transfer RNA (72 nucleotides) under Marmota marmota marmota (Alpine marmot). It matches the Rfam family "tRNA". From Rfam's summary of the family: Transfer RNA (tRNA) molecules are approximately 80 nucleotides in length. Their secondary structure includes four short double-helical elements and three loops (D, anti-codon, and T loops). Further hydrogen bonds mediate the characteristic L-shaped molecular structure. tRNAs have two regions of fundamental functional importance: the anti-codon, which is responsible for specific mRNA codon recognition, and the 3' end, to which the tRNAs corresponding amino acid is attached (by aminoacyl-tRNA synthetases). tRNAs cope with the degeneracy of the genetic code in two manners: having more than one tRNA (with a specific anti-codon) for a particular amino acid; and 'wobble' base-pairing, i.e. permitting non-standard base-pairing at the 3rd anti-codon position. Lineage: Eukaryota; Metazoa; Chordata; Mammalia; Rodentia; Sciuridae. The record is from Rfam by way of RNAcentral. RNAcentral also lists the same sequence under 1 other name.
GGAGGUAUAGUUCAGUGAUAGAGCACAUGCCUAGCAUGCACAACACUCUGCAUUCAAUCCCCAGUACUUCCA